Molecule: unclassified non-coding RNA, 338 nt
Filed under: uncultured Russula
Lineage: Eukaryota; Fungi; Basidiomycota; Agaricomycetes; Russulales; Russulaceae
Description: partial contains 5.8S ribosomal RNA, internal transcribed spacer 2, and large subunit ribosomal RNA
Source: RNAcentral
AACGCACCUUGCGCCCCUUGGCAUUCCGAGGGGCACACCCGUUUGAGUGUCGUGAAAUUCUCAAAAACCUUUCUUUUUGAAAGGGUUUUGGACUUGGAGGCUCUUUGCUGGCUUUUGCCGGCUCCUCUCAAAUGAAUUAGUGGGGUCCGCUUUGUCGAUCCUUGACGUGAUAAGAUGUUUCUACGUCUCGGGUUUGGCGAUGCCUCUUGGGCACCUGCUUCCAACCGUCUCAUGGACAAUGAUGGUGUUCCGGUCACUGCCGUUUCAUCGGUCGGGAGGCUUGACCCACCAACAAAACCUUUGACCUCAAAUCGGGUGAGACUACCCGCUGAACUUAA